Molecule: long non-coding RNA, 802 nt
Organism: Marmota flaviventris (yellow-bellied marmot)
Lineage: Eukaryota; Metazoa; Chordata; Mammalia; Rodentia; Sciuridae
Source: RefSeq, a predicted model, not a curated record
UCCUUGAGGCGGGAGGGAAGGAAUGCAGGCGGCCACAGCUGAGGGGGUUGGAGGGUUCGACUUUUACUUCCGUGAAGAGGUUAAGUUCCUGACGCCAGAAGAAACUCGAGUUAAAGAACAUCAUUGAAACGUUGCUUUCCAUAGUCUGCAGGAUCCAUCUGAAGCUCUCUCUCUUCAUCAUCUUUAAUUGACUUUGAACACACCCACUGAAGGAAGGAGAUGCCUGCUGGGGAUUUGGGAAAUGAAUAUCUCCCAAAUUAACAAGUGAAUCCCAAAACACCAUCAGGGCACCCAGGGACCUGCUACCAGAGCACACCUGGAAUGUAACCCUUGAAGAGUUCCUUUAACACCACCCCCCUGCCCCUCCUGAUCAGAAUGAUUGAUUGGAGUCCUGGAGGAGCAAGCUGGCCCCACACUUCUCCAAAUCCACAUUUCUUUUCCUACAAAGACUGGGAACCAAAGACACGCCUUUGUAGGAGGGUAAAUGUUUACAUUCUUUACUGAUCUCUUUGUUCUCAUGAUUCAAUUUCCUUUUGUAUUUGUUGCCCCUCCAAAGAACAUAACCUCCAAAGAACAUAACAUGUAGUCUUGUUUCCAAAAAGUGUAUAUUACUUGUUUUUUAACACAUUUUUAUGAUACUAUGUCAGCUUCUCAGUAAUCUCUAUUUUAAACCUGUUUCUGAAAUUGCUAGAGGGAUGCUAUUCUUGAAUGCACCAGAUUGGACAAGGGAAGAUGGGGGAAGAGAGAGGAGAGGAGAAUAGGGAUGACAUAGAAUGAAUUGGACAUAACUUUCUAUGUUGAU